GCGAUCAUACCAGCACUAAUGCACCGGAUCCCAUCAGAACUCCGAAGUUAAGCGUGCUUAGGUGAGAGUAGUACUAGGAUGGGUGACCCCCUGGGAAGUCCUCGUGUUGCACCCC
Molecule: ribosomal RNA, 115 nt
Filed under: Salvia splendens (bonfire salvia)
Lineage: Eukaryota; Viridiplantae; Streptophyta; Magnoliopsida; Lamiales; Lamiaceae
Source: RNAcentral